Molecule: long non-coding RNA, 392 nt
Organism: Rhagoletis zephyria (snowberry fruit fly)
Lineage: Eukaryota; Metazoa; Arthropoda; Insecta; Diptera; Tephritidae
Source: RefSeq, a predicted model, not a curated record
AAAGGGAAAACGCCGAUUUGAUCAUGUUUGGAAAUUACCCAUUAGCACACCAGCCGCUGCUGGUGAAUUUUCCUGUCGGCAAAAACCGCAUGUGAUCGCGGCGCGCCGGUUGGAUUUGUGAAAAGUCAGAAUCAAGGCACUGAGAUGAGGCAUGCACUGACACAAUGCCUCAACGCAUCAAGGCGGAGCGGCGAGCAACAGGCAAACCAACUAAAAGCAAGGCAACACAUCGCAGUAGAUCUUGUAGAGUUUCACUAGAGUCUACGAAGAGUAACUCAGUUCAGUUGAGCAUUGGACGGCGGAGCAAGCGCACGGAUUACUUCGGAUCGAAUUGGAUUGCCAAGGUACGGAUCGGUUCGUUAGUGGCGAAGCAAAGAAAAACUAAAAAGGUU